RNAcentral lists this long non-coding RNA (543 nucleotides) under Mytilus galloprovincialis (Mediterranean mussel). The record is from RNAcentral. Lineage: Eukaryota; Metazoa; Mollusca; Bivalvia; Mytilida; Mytilidae.
GCGUUCUUAAAAGUAUUAUAUAGUAUUAUGCAUACAUGUAGUAGUCAUGUCAACCCCUAGACAUAACCGGAUGUUUUGAAGUCAUUUGAGUAUAUACGUUUAUAUAUAAAACCAAAUAAAUAUUAUGAAAAGAUAUAUUAAGUUAGUCAUCUAUAAUGAUCUACUGUGGUUCAGUGUGGGACUUCUGUUAUAGUGUAAUUGUCUACUACAUAUUUAUCGCUAUAUUUGUAUAAGGAUUCUCAAAAACACAUAGAUAUAAGAAGAUGUGAUAUGAGUGCCAAUGCGACAACUCUCCAUCCAAGUCACAAGUUGUAAAUAGUUAACCAUUCAUUAUAGGUCAAAAUGUGGACUUCAACGGUACUGCAUCUAGGUCUCGGAUGUCUGGUAGUCUAAGUAAUUACAGCUAGGUCUCGGAUGUCUGGUAGUGUAAGUAAUUACAGCUAUGUCUCGGAUGUCUGGUAGUCUAAGUAAUUACAGCUAGGUCUCGGAUGUAUGGUAUUCUAAGUUAUAACAGCUAGGUCUCGGAUGUCUGGUAGUCUAAGU